RNAcentral lists this transfer RNA (83 nucleotides) under Burkholderia multivorans. RNAcentral describes it as "tRNA-Glu". The record is from RNAcentral. Lineage: Bacteria; Pseudomonadati; Pseudomonadota; Betaproteobacteria; Burkholderiales; Burkholderiaceae.
GGUCGGCUCGUCGAUGGCGGACGCAGCAUUCUCGAUGCAUCGGACAAGCUGGGCCAGGUGCUGUUCGAAUCCGCGGCCGGCGU